This 996-nucleotide ribosomal RNA is filed under the name uncultured bacterium. RNAcentral describes it as "bacterial SSU rRNA". It matches the Rfam family "Bacterial small subunit ribosomal RNA", at positions 356 to 1376 of the family's 1533-position model. The record is from RNAcentral.
GGGGGAUAUUGCACAAUGGGGGAAACCCUGAUGCAGCGACGCCGCGUGGAGGAAGAAGGUUUUCGGAUUGUAAACUCCUGUCGUUAGGGACGAUAAUGACGGUACCUAACAAGAAAGCACCGGCUAACUAUGUGCCAGCAGCCGCGGUAAAACGUAGGGUGCAAGCGUUGUCCGGAAUUACUGGGUGUAAAGGGAGCGCAGGCGGACCGGCAAGUUGGAAGUGAAAACUAUGGGCUCAACCCAUAAAUUGCUUUCAAAACUGCUGGCCUUGAGUAGUGCAGAGGUAGGUGGAAUUCCCGGUGUAGCGGUGGAAUGCGUAGAUAUCGGGAGGAACACCAGUGGCGAAGGCGACCUACUGGGCACCAACUGACGCUGAGGCUCGAAAGCAUGGGUAGCAAACAGGAUUAGAUACCCUGGUAGUCCAUGCCGUAAACGAUGAUUACUAGGUGUUGGAGGAUUGACCCCUUCAGUGCCGCAGUUAACACAAUAAGUAAUCCACCUGGGGAGUACGACCGCAAGGUUGAAACUCAAAGGAAUUGACGGGGGCCCGCACAAGCAGUGGAGUAUGUGGUUUAAUUCGAAGCAACGCGAAGAACCUUACCAGGUCUUGACAUCCGAUGCAUAGUGCAGAGAUGCAUGAAGUCCUUCGGGACAUCGAGACAGGUGGUGCAUGGUUGUCGUCAGCUCGUGUCGUGAGAUGUUGGGUUAAGUCCCGCAACGAGCGCAACCCUUAUGGUCAGUUACUACGCAAGAGGACUCUGGCCAGACUGCCGUUGACAAAACGGAGGAAGGUGGGGAUGACGUCAAAUCAUCAUGCCCUUUAUGACUUGGGCUACACACGUACUACAAUGGCGUUAAACAAAGAGAAGCAAGACCGCGAGGUGGAGCAAAACUCAGAAACAACGUCCCAGUUCGGACUGCAGGCUGCAACUCGCCUGCACGAAGUCGGAAUUGCUAGUAAUCGCGGAUCAGCAUGCCACGGUGAAUACGUUCCCG